RNAcentral lists this ribosomal RNA (462 nucleotides) under uncultured bacterium. RNAcentral describes it as "partial 16S ribosomal RNA". It matches the Rfam family "Bacterial small subunit ribosomal RNA", at positions 29 to 507 of the family's 1533-position model. The record is from RNAcentral.
AGUGAACGCUGGCGGCGUGCCUAAUACAUGCAAGUCGAACGGAGAUUAAGUAGCUUGCUAUUUAAUCUUAGUGGCGCACGGGUGAGUAAUAUAUAGCUAACUUGCCCAUUACUAAGGGACAACAGUUGGAAACGACUGCUAAUACCUUAUACUCCGUAUCUAUAUAAGUAGAUACGGGAAAGUUUUUCGGUAAUGGAUAGGGCUAUAUCGUAUCAGCUAGUUGGUAAGGUAAUGGCUUACCAAGGCUAUGACGCGUAACUGGUCUGAGAGGAUGAUCAGUCACACUGGAACUGAGACACGGUCCAGACUCCUACGGGAGGCAGCAGUAGGGAAUAUUGUUCAAUGGGGGAAACCCUGAAGCAGCAACGCCGCGUGGAGGAUGACACUUUUCGGAGCGUAAACUCCUUUUCUUGGGAAAGAAUUAUGACGGUACCCAAGGAAUAAGCACCGGCUAACUCCGUG